Molecule: ribosomal RNA, 403 nt
Filed under: Verrucomicrobiota bacterium
Lineage: Bacteria; Pseudomonadati; Verrucomicrobiota
Description: Verrucomicrobia bacterium partial 16S ribosomal RNA
Rfam family: Bacterial small subunit ribosomal RNA
Source: RNAcentral
UGGGGAAUAUUGCACAAUGGGGGAAACCCUGAUGCAGCGACGCCGCGUGAGCGAAGAAGGCUUUCGAGUCGUAAAGCUCUGUCCUAUGAGAAGAUAAUGACGGUAUCAUAGGAGGAAGCCCUGGCUAAAUACGUGCCAGCAGCCGCGGUAAUACGUAUGGGGCGAGCGUUGUCCGGAAUUAUUGGGAGUAAAGGGUACGUAGGCGGUUUUUUAAGUCAGGUGUCAAAGCGUGGAGCUUAACUCCAUUAAGCACUUGAAACUGAAAGACUUGAGUGAAGGAGAGGAAAGUGGAAUUGCUAGUGUAGCGGUGAAAUGCGUAGAUAGUAGGGGGAAUACCGGUGGCGAAGGCGACGUUCUGGACUUUUACUGACGCUCAGGUACGAAAGCGUGGGGAGCAAACAGG